RNAcentral lists this ribosomal RNA (446 nucleotides) under uncultured bacterium. Its description in RNAcentral is "bacterial SSU rRNA". It matches the Rfam family "Bacterial small subunit ribosomal RNA", at positions 354 to 796 of the family's 1533-position model. The record is from RNAcentral.
GUAAGGAAUAUUGGACAAUGGCCGAAAGGCUGAUCCAGCCAUCCAGCGUGCAGGAAGAAGGCCCUAUGGGUUGUAAACUGCUUUUAUCAGGGAAUAAACCUCUGGAUUUACUCCGGAGCUGAAGGUACCUGAAGAAUAAGCACCGGCUAACUCCGUGCCAGCAGCCGCGGUAAUACGGAGGGUGCGAGCGUUAUCCGGAAUUACUGGGUUUAAAGGGUGCGUAGGCGGCUUUGUAAGUCAGGAGUGAAAGUUUGCAGCUCAACUGUAAAAUUGCUUUUGAUACUGCGAGGCUAGAAUUAGGAUGAGGUCAGCGGAAUGUGGCAUGUAGCGGUGAAAUGCAUAGAUAUGCCAUAGAACACCAAUUGCGAAGGCAGCUGGCUAGACCUGGAUUGACGCUGAGGCACGAAAGCGUGGGGAGCGAACAGGAUUAGAUACCCCAGUAGUCC